UACGUAGGGUGCGAGCGUUAAUCGGAAUUACUGGGCGUAAAGCGUGCGCAGGCGGUUCGUUGUGUCCGAUGUGAAAGCCCCGGGCUUAACCUGGGAAUGGCAUUGGAAACUGGCGAGCUUGAGUGCGGCAGAGGGGGGUGGAAUUCCGCGUGUAGCAGUGAAAUGCGUAGAGAUGUGGAGGAACACCGAUGGCGAAGGCAGCCUCCUGGGCCAGCACUGACGCUCAUGCACGAAAGCGUGGGGAGCAAACAGG
RNAcentral lists this ribosomal RNA (253 nucleotides) under uncultured bacterium. RNAcentral's name for it is "partial 16S ribosomal RNA". It matches the Rfam family "Bacterial small subunit ribosomal RNA", at positions 524 to 776 of the family's 1533-position model. The record is from RNAcentral.